GUUUUAUUUUCAAUUCCUAAAAUCUGAAAGAAAAAUAAAUGUCACUGAUGAUUACGCAUGUAAGCAAAAACUAUAUAUUAUGAGUGAGUCUGGUAUGAAUUAUACAAAAUGUAUUCAUGAAGAGCAGGAAAAGUAUUUUAGAAAUUUAUUUAGAUAUACAAUGGAGUUUAAAUUUACCAGCAUGUGUUCGGCUAACCAUCCU
Biomphalaria pfeifferi is the source of this 202-nucleotide non-coding RNA. Lineage: Eukaryota; Metazoa; Mollusca; Gastropoda; Planorbidae. The record is from the annotation of a GenBank genome assembly.